GUUUGAUCUGUGGAUGAAAUGAAUCAUGAUUUUCAAGCUCUUGCAUUAGAAUCUCGGGGAAUGGGAGAGCUUUUGCCUACCAAAAAGUUUUGGGAACCUGAUGAUUCAACAAAAGAUGGACAAAAAGGCAUAUUUCUUGGGGAUGAUGAAUGGAGAGAGACUGCAUGGGGAGCUUCUCACCAUUCAAUGUCCCAGCCUAUUAUGGUACAGAGAAGAUCUGGACAGGGUUUUCAUGGAAACAGUGAAGUAAAUGCAAUACUGUCUCCGCGAUCAGAAAGUGGAGGCCUUGGUGUGAGCAUGGUAGAAUAUGUAUUAAGUUCUUCUCCUGCUGAUAAAUUGGAUUCUCGAUUUAGGAAGGGAAAUUUUGGCACUAGAGAUGCUGAAACAGAUGGACCUGAGAAAGGAGAUCAAAAAGGCAAGGCUUCUCCAUUUGAGGAGGACCAAAACAGAGAUCUUAAACAAGGAGAUGAUGAUGAUUCUAAAAUAAAUGGCAGAGGUUUGCCAAAUGGAAUGGAUGCCGAUUGCAAAGAUUUUAAUCGUACUCCUGGAAGUCGUCAAGCCUCUCCAACUGAAGUAGUUGAGCGCUUGGGCCCCAAUACUAAUCCCUCAGAAGGACUGGGGCCUCUUCCUAAUCCUACAGCUAAUAAACCACUUGUUGAAGAAUUUUCAAAUCCUGAAACUCAGAAUCUGGAUGCCAUGGAACAAGUUGGUCUGGAAUCCUUACAGUUUGACUAUCCUGGUAAUCAGGUACCAAUGGACUCUUCAGGAGCUACUGUAGGCCUUUUUGACUACAAUUCCCAGCAGCAGCUCUUUCAGAGGACUAAUGCACUAACAGUUCAACAGUUAACUGCAGCUCAACAGCAGCAAUAUGCAUUAGCAGCAGCUCAGCAGCCACAUAUAG
RNAcentral lists this non-coding RNA (901 nucleotides) under Homo sapiens (human). Lineage: Eukaryota; Metazoa; Chordata; Mammalia; Primates; Hominidae. The record is from RNAcentral.